AUUGAACGCUGGCGGCAUGCUUUACACAUGCAAGUCGAACGGCAGCGCGGGGCAACCUGGCGGCGAGUGGCGAACGGGUGAGUAAUAUAUCGGAACGUACCCAAGAGUGGGGGAUAACGUAGCGAAAGUUACGCUAAUACCGCAUACGAUCUAAGGAUGAAAGCAGGGGACCUUCGGCCGUUGUGCUCCUGGAGCGGCCGAUAUCUGAUUAGCUAGUUGGUGAGGUAAAGGACNCACCAAGGCGACGAUCAGUAGCUGGUCUGAGAGGACGACCAGCCACACUGGGACUGAGACACGGCCCA
RNAcentral lists this ribosomal RNA (302 nucleotides) under uncultured bacterium. RNAcentral's name for it is "bacterial SSU rRNA". It matches the Rfam family "Bacterial small subunit ribosomal RNA", at positions 30 to 333 of the family's 1533-position model. The record is from RNAcentral.